UGUCUACAACACCUGGGAUUCCCAGGCCGUCUCCGAUCCAAGUACUAACCAGGCCCAACGUUGCUUAACUUGACAGACCCGACGAGAUGUCGUGCUUUCAACGUGGUAUGGUCGUAGAC
This 119-nucleotide ribosomal RNA is filed under the name Brugia malayi. Lineage: Eukaryota; Metazoa; Nematoda; Chromadorea; Rhabditida; Onchocercidae. The record is from RNAcentral.